AUGAACGCUGGCGGCGUGGAUAAGGCAUGCAAGUCGAAAGGGUUUAGACCCUUGGCAAACGGGUUCGGAACGCGUAGGAAUUUACCUCGAAGUCGCGAAUAACUCGGAGAAAUCCGUGACAAUACGCGAUGUGCUCUACGGAGCAAAGAUUUAUCGCUUCGAGAGAAGCCUGCGUCCUAUCAGCUUGUUGGUAAGGUAAUGGCUUACCAAGGCUAUGACGGGUAGGGGGUGUGAGAGCAUGACCCCCAACAUUGGCACUGAGACACUGGCCAAACACCUACGGGUGGCUGCAGUCGAGAAUAUUCCACAAUGGACGAAAGUCUGAUGGAGCGACGCCGCGUGCAGGAAGAAGGCCUUCGGGUUGUAAACUGCUUUUCUUAGGGAGCAAUUUCGAUGAGAGUACCUAAGGAAUAAGGGGUUACUAACUCUGU
This 431-nucleotide ribosomal RNA is filed under the name uncultured bacterium. RNAcentral's name for it is "bacterial SSU rRNA". It matches the Rfam family "Bacterial small subunit ribosomal RNA", at positions 29 to 506 of the family's 1533-position model. The record is from RNAcentral.